GAAUAAGAAGCGAAUUAUUGCAAUCGGUUUCGACCCGAUUUUUGGUUUUGUAACCCUUAUUCU
This 63-nucleotide transfer RNA is filed under the name Fistulobalanus albicostatus. RNAcentral describes it as "tRNA-Arg". Lineage: Eukaryota; Metazoa; Arthropoda; Thecostraca; Balanomorpha; Balanidae. The record is from RNAcentral.